GCCUACGGCCUGCCGCCCUGAGAGCGGCCGGUCUCGCCUGAUCUCGGAAGCUAAGCAGGGUCGGGCCCGGUUAGUACUUGGAUGGGAGACCGCCUGGGAAUACCGGGUGCUGUAGGCU
This is a ribosomal RNA of Taeniopygia guttata (zebra finch), 118 nucleotides long. NCBI's taxonomy places the organism in Eukaryota, Metazoa, Chordata, Aves, Passeriformes, Estrildidae. The record is from Ensembl.